ACGCAGGGUAGCCAAGUGCGGAGCGGAUAACCGCUGAAAGCAUCUAAGUGGGAAGCCCACCUCAAGAUGAGUGCUCUCACUACUUUAAGUAGGUAAGGUCACGGGAAGACUACCCGUUAAUAGGUGUUCGGUGGAAAUGCAGUAAUGUAUGCAGCCUAGACACACUAACAGACCGAGGACUUGACCUC
RNAcentral lists this ribosomal RNA (188 nucleotides) under Okeania sp. SIO2C2. RNAcentral describes it as "partial 23S ribosomal RNA". It matches the Rfam family "Bacterial large subunit ribosomal RNA", at positions 2738 to 2925 of the family's 2925-position model. The record is from RNAcentral. Lineage: Bacteria; Bacillati; Cyanobacteriota; Cyanophyceae; Oscillatoriales; Microcoleaceae.